AAGCCAUGAUGAGGGCAUUGGUUGGUGUAACCCUUGAAACGCUCCCAUGCUUCACAGAAAUCUCAUUUAUGAGUCU
Molecule: non-coding RNA, 76 nt
Organism: Arabidopsis thaliana x Arabidopsis arenosa
Lineage: Eukaryota; Viridiplantae; Streptophyta; Magnoliopsida; Brassicales; Brassicaceae
Source: the annotation of a GenBank genome assembly